UGAAUAUUACACUGCCUUAGUUAAAGCCA
RNAcentral lists this non-coding RNA (29 nucleotides) under Mus musculus (house mouse). Lineage: Eukaryota; Metazoa; Chordata; Mammalia; Rodentia; Muridae. The record is from RNAcentral.